Molecule: non-coding RNA, 29 nt
Filed under: Rattus norvegicus (Norway rat)
Lineage: Eukaryota; Metazoa; Chordata; Mammalia; Rodentia; Muridae
Source: RNAcentral
UCAAAGAAAAUAUUUUUUAAAAGUGACCU